Molecule: long non-coding RNA, 457 nt
Organism: Acomys russatus (golden spiny mouse)
Lineage: Eukaryota; Metazoa; Chordata; Mammalia; Rodentia; Muridae
Exons: 3
Source: RefSeq, a predicted model, not a curated record
UUAGCAAAAUUGACUGGCAAUGCAAAAUUACUCCAGCCCUAUGCUUGUUACCCUGAUAUUCAUGCUUACUUACGCAUUUAUUUUCCAGCAGAGUCAUACUUCUUCCUGUAACAUGAAGCUUUCCCUCACACAACCCAAGCCAGAUCAUUCCCUUUCCCAAAGAGAUGACAAACUCUUCUUUGAGUUGCAUCCAUUCCUCCAGUUGUCUCCUCCUCAUUUCUCUGCCUCCCAGCCUACAUGAGGUGAACAACAUGUUUGUGCCACAUACUUCCACAGCCAUGAUGUCUUUCUUUGUGAAGCCAUGAAAUGUUCUGUGCUCAGAAACAUGGAGACAACUUUGAAAACCUUUUCCAAAACAUCGGUGACACUUUCUCUUUCAUUUCAAAGAUUCUGAAUUGACCAAAAAUGGUAAAGUUGUUUACUGUGUAGAACUCUAUACAAGCAUGACUUUCCUCAA